UGUGUGAGGUUCCUGUGGAGCUCAGCAUGUGCUCUGUGCCCGAGUUCGCUCCACCCAGACGCUCGUCCCCUACCCGCUUCUGGAGAAGAGCCAGGAUCUGGAGGGACCGCUGUCACAAGAGGGAGGGAGAGGGAGCGUGUUAAGGUUGAAGAGGACUUCCGAGAAAUGAGCACAGGAAGCGUGUUUGCUUUUGAUCAGCUGCCAGCCUCGCGCAGUGCCGCCGUGCCACAGCCCUCACUGCUCCCAGUGGAUCAUGGAAAACAGCAAGGACUGUUCUAGAAAGAGCCUGAGAGCAUUGCACUUGCUCAAGGUCGAACAACAGAAUGGAAGAGGCGAUAUCCCGGACUGAAACUAUAUCAAAUAAAAAUGGAGGAAAGUCUUCAGGACCCUGAACCUGGAACUGAAAUGGACAUAACUGGGAUUAUAGGCUGCCACUGAGGCCUGGGGCACACGGGCAAACAGGCAUAUAACUGAGGUGCCUCGGAUUUUGGGGAA
Ictalurus punctatus (channel catfish) is the source of this 495-nucleotide long non-coding RNA. NCBI's taxonomy places the organism in Eukaryota, Metazoa, Chordata, Actinopteri, Siluriformes, Ictaluridae. The record is from Ensembl.